Molecule: ribosomal RNA, 380 nt
Filed under: uncultured eukaryote
Lineage: Eukaryota
Description: partial 18S ribosomal RNA
Rfam family: Eukaryotic small subunit ribosomal RNA
Source: RNAcentral
CAAUAGCGUAUAUUAAAGUUGUUGCGGUUAAAAAGCUGGUAGUUGGAUUUCUGUUGAGGACGGCCGGUCCGCACUAUGUGCGUGUAUCUGGUUCGGCCUCGGCAUCCUCUCGAAAGCCGUUUCUGCGCUUGAUUGCGUGGUUCGGACUUCGGGACUUUUACUUUGAGGAAAUUAGAGUGUUCACGGCAGGCAAGCGCCUUGAAUAUAUUAGCAUGGAAUAAUAAUAUAGGAUCUUGGUCCUAUUUUGUUGGUUUCUAGGGCUAAGAUAAUGAUUAAUAGGGACAAUUGGGGGCAUUCGUAUUAAUGCGUCAGAGGUGGAAUUCUUGGAUUGCGUUACGACGAACUACUGCGAAAGCAUUUGCCAAGGAUGUUUUCAUUGA